GAUGAACGCUGGCGGCGUGCCUAAUACAUGCAAGUCGAGCGAACAGACGAGGAGCUUGCUCCUCUGACGUUAGCGGCGGACGGGUGAGUAACACGUGGAUAACCUACCUAUAAGACUGGGAUAACUUCGGGAAACCGGAGCUAAUACCGGAUAAUAUAUUGAACCGCAUGGUUCAAUAGUGAAAGACGGUUUUGCUGUCACUUAUAGAUGGAUCCGCGCCGCAUUAGCUAGUUGGUAAGGUAACGGCUUACCAAGGCAACGAUGCGUAGCCGACCUGAGAGGGUGAUCGGCCACACUGGAACUGAGACACGGUCCAGACUCAUACGGGAGGCAGCAGUAGGGAAUCUUCCGAAAUGGGCGAAAGCCUGACGGAGCAACGCCGCGUGAGUGAUGAAGGUCUGCGGAUCGUAAAACUCUGUUAUUAGGGAAGAACAAAUGUGUAAGUAACUAUGAACGUCUUGACGGUACCUAAUCAGAAAGCCACGGCUAACUACGU
This 496-nucleotide ribosomal RNA is filed under the name uncultured bacterium. Its description in RNAcentral is "partial 16S ribosomal RNA". It matches the Rfam family "Bacterial small subunit ribosomal RNA", at positions 28 to 506 of the family's 1533-position model. The record is from RNAcentral.